Molecule: ribosomal RNA, 206 nt
Filed under: uncultured bacterium
Lineage: Bacteria
Description: partial 16S ribosomal RNA
Rfam family: Bacterial small subunit ribosomal RNA
Source: RNAcentral
GACGAACGCUGGCGGCGUGCUUAACACAUGCAAGUCGAGCGGUAAGGCCCUUUCGGGGUACACGAGCGGCGAACGGGUGAGUAACACGUGGGUGACCUGCCUUUAGCUCUGGGAUAAGCCUGGGAAACUGGGUCUAAUACCGGAUAUGACUCCAUGAUGCAUGUUGUGGGGUGGAAANCCUUGUGCGGCUGGAGAUGGGCCCGCGG